CCUAUGGGGGGCAGCAGUCGCGAAAACUUCACAAUGGGGGAAACCCCGAUGAGGGAAUUCCAAGUGUCAGCACAUUGUGUUGACUGUUCCCCUGUCUAAAAAACAGGAGAAGUAAGGGCCGGGUAAGACGGGUGCCAGCCGCCGCGGUAAUACCCGCGGCCCGAGUGGUGGUCGAUAUUAUUGAGCCUAAAACGUUCGUAGCCGGUCUUGUAAAUCCUUGGGUAAAUCGGCCAGCUUAACUGUCCGAAGUCCGGGGAGACUGCAAGACUUGGGAUCGGGAGAGGUCAGAGGUACUUCUGGGGUAGGGGUAAAAUCCUGUAAUCCUAGAAGGACCACCGGUGGCGAAGGCGUCUGACUAGAACGAAUUCGACGGUGAGGAACGAAGCCCUGGGGCGCAAACGGGAUUAGAUACCCCCGUAGUCC
This 423-nucleotide ribosomal RNA is filed under the name uncultured euryarchaeote. RNAcentral describes it as "bacterial SSU rRNA". It matches the Rfam family "Archaeal small subunit ribosomal RNA", at positions 322 to 747 of the family's 1478-position model. Lineage: Archaea; Methanobacteriati; Methanobacteriota. The record is from RNAcentral.